CAAAUAUGACUGAUUGACUGAUUGAUCGAUUGAUUGAUUGAAGGUGAUUUGUUCCAGAGCUUCGAUGAGACUCCAAGCUGCACAGCUUCCUCGUUGCCCUGUUUCCAGCCCCCUGCCAAAACAUUUCCUCACUUGGAUUCCUGUGUGAGGACCUACAUGGAAAUGGAAGCCAUCCCAUCUUCUCAAGCUUACCUGCCCAGCUGGAAGGAAGAGGGAGUCAACCCUCACUA
RNAcentral lists this long non-coding RNA (230 nucleotides) under Ornithorhynchus anatinus (platypus). Its description in RNAcentral is "lncRNA (ENSOANG00000043867.1)". The record is from RNAcentral. Lineage: Eukaryota; Metazoa; Chordata; Mammalia; Monotremata; Ornithorhynchidae.